GGAUUAAUAGCAUAAUGGUAGUGCCACUGUCUUCAAAACAGUUUGUAGGGGUUCGAUUCCCUUUUAAUCUG
Molecule: transfer RNA, 71 nt
Filed under: Paracoccaceae bacterium
Lineage: Bacteria; Pseudomonadati; Pseudomonadota; Alphaproteobacteria; Rhodobacterales; Paracoccaceae
Description: Rhodobacteraceae bacterium tRNA-Sec
Rfam family: tRNA
About the family: Transfer RNA (tRNA) molecules are approximately 80 nucleotides in length. Their secondary structure includes four short double-helical elements and three loops (D, anti-codon, and T loops).
Source: RNAcentral